Long non-coding RNA from Ahaetulla prasina, 3071 nucleotides. RefSeq lists it as uncharacterized. The record is from RefSeq and is a predicted model, not a curated record. NCBI's taxonomy places the organism in Eukaryota, Metazoa, Chordata, Lepidosauria, Squamata, Colubridae. The transcript is spliced from 3 exons.
CAGGGGGCUCAUGAAAAUAGCCUGGAGGCUGUUCGUCUUUUCUGCGCUUUCCGCACUGAAGAUGAGAAGCUGGGAUCCUCCUUCCGCUUGAGGGCACCCCGAGGUCAUCCAGCCCUCCUUAAAGCAGCGUCAAUGAAGAAGGGAAAGAAAAAGGAGGCUUCAGGACAGACACACCCCGCAUAUCCACGAAGGAGUCCCCAGAGAAAGGGCCUUGACAGCCGGUUGGAUGACCUCGAGGGGCCCCCAUCCCUGCGGCAGCCUCUUUCAACCCCAACUUCCCCAUCAUGGAUGAGAGAAGAAGGAGGUCGGAGGGUCUUCUGAACUAACGUGGUUGUCAGGUUUUUCUUCAUUUUCCCACUUUAAAGAUAUCAUAUUAUUAUAUACUUUAUUCAUUAAGCAUGAAACUCAGUCAACUGAACAUUCAAAAAUGCAUCACAGAUACCAUUGAUUGAUGCUAACGGUCGAUAGGGGUUACUGCCAGCAUCCUAGGUGUCAACCAAGUACCUUCUUCAGAUGUACGAUCUUCUAAGUAGCGCAGUUUUUUGCAGUUCUGCUGGUAUUCUUGCAGGAAGCUGCAAUUUGUUGAUGUACCUUAUAAAAUUCUUGGACAUGGUACCAAGUGCCCCAGGGACAAUGGGAAUCACUGUGACAUGUUUCAUCCAUUUCAAUGGCCGGUCCAUCUCACUGCCUGCGGAGGCCUGGUGUGACUUAAGACCACAGACUGCCCGCUACAGGCAGUGAGAGGGACAUCUGAAGCUGGCACAGGCCCUGCAGCGGCCUCCAUUUUAUGGUGGGAAUCUCAAAGAACUCGGGGUUCCUCUGGGAAGCCUUUUGGCUGCCUGGCAAAGCCCUUCCCCGAGUCCGACUGGCUUCAGCUGAGCCCCGGCAGGACGGAGGGGCUGGGGUGUGUGUGGAGGCUUCUCUGGGCCCAGGUCUUUCCCUGCUUUGCUGCUGCCUCAGAGCUCUGUCCCCUCCCGUGUGUGCUCGUGUGGAGAGCCCUUUGCUGCCUUCGGGGGAGAGAGAGGAGACCGUUUCCUCCUCUGCGGGGCCUCUUCGCCUCCCGAAAAUAGGAGCCUUCAGGGGAUUCAGGCCAAGCACGAAGGGGGUCGGGGGGGGUUCAGGCCCUUUUCUUGGGGUGCAUAAAAAGACCAAAUUACCCAUCAAGAUGCUCUUUCACAGUUCAAGUUGCUCAACAAGGUGGAUGAAAUAUCGGUUCCUUUUCUCUCCUUUGGAAAGCUGUAGGGCCCAUUUCAAGUGGGCUAAGCCUAGUCUCCAAGGUGGUUGGCCUUCAAAGGGAAAUGGACGUUGGGAGUAGAACAGGUGGUGUCUUCUUAGACUGCUGGAAAGGCUUCCAUACCAUUGCCCAAGGUGUCCUUCAUAGGCUAUUAUUGGGAGCCUUUUUUAAGGAUGAUUUUGCUACGUCCAACUUGAGAUGCCACGUGAUCGUUAUUUUAGGAUCUGAUUCCUGGUGUUGGGCUGUGAAGGGAGCAAGAUGGUGGACCUGGUCUUGGAUUUGGCAAGAAGCAUGAGAAAGAAUUGUGGUCCCCACAAUACAAGAGUAGAUGCUGAGGCCCUGGAAAGUGCGCAGGGAAGAGCAACAAAGAGGAUAAUGGAUCUGGAGGCUAAAUCGUGUCAUGAGCCCCUAACUGGGUAUGGAUAUCUUUAGCCCAAUGGAGAGAAAGCUCAGGGGAGACACGAUCGUAUCUUGCAAUAUUGGAAAUGCUGUCAAGGGAAAGAGGAUGUUGAUUUAUCCUCCAUAGCAUCUGAGGGCAAGAUAAGAAGCAACGGGAGGAAGCUCCUCAGAGGGAGAUCUAACCUGGAUAGGAGGAGGAAUUUCCUGACAGGGAGAACAAUGAACUAAUGGAGUAGCUGGUUGAGUUGUGAGCGCUCCCGUUAUUUGCCUCAGCUCCUCUGCCCACCUGGCAGUUCAAAAGCGUGCAAAUGUGAGUAGAUGAAUAAGCACCACUUUGGUGGGAAGGUAACAGCAUUUCAUGGGCCUUGGGGGUAUAGCCAUGCUGGCCACAUGACCACGGAAAUUGUUUUCGGACACUGCUGGCUCCCUCGGCCAAAAGGGGGGAUGGGCACCGUCCUCUAGAGUCGGCCACGACCGGGCAGAGUAAAUCUUUACUUUUACUUUAUUAUCCUAGACACGGAGGGCCCUGUUUGAAGGGGCAAAGAAAUCAGCUGGAAAUUCCAGUCACCUUGGUGGUGGCGGUUUUUUCCUCCAUUUCCUUAUUGGCACAUCUGUGACUUUCCGUCCUGUGCUGUUCCAUGCGGGAUGCCAUCUCCUCUUGUCUUUUCACAGAACAAAGGUGCCAAGGCCAAACCCGGAAACAAAGGGAAGAAACCGCUGGGUCAAGUCCUGUCUACAUUAUGGCAGGAAGCGAGCCUGUCCCCAUUGAGGAAGAGGAAGAGGAAGAGGAUGAGGUUGCCUCAGUCGGGGUCUCCCUUUCCUCCACUUUCCUUCUGAUGUGCGACUAAUGCGGAACUUUGCUUUUUCUUUCUCCCAAGUACUCUUGGCCUUUUGACUUUUCCUAGUUUUCCUUUCUUUCUGUCUUUCCUUUCCUGUCUUUCUGCUCGGCAGGAACAGAAGACGAAGGAAGAGGCAAAGAGUGGCAAGUGGCUUCAUCCAGAAAGUCCUGGGCCCAGUUGAGAGAUUCCCCCAUAGCCCUCAUGCUGAAAAGCUGCAGCAGCCAUCUCCUCACUCUCCCAGAUCAUGGACACCCACGAGAGAACCACCCCCUGCCAAAUAGAAGGCAUUGCAGCCAUGCAGUGAGAGAUUAUCAGAACUGUCCCAUCUUGGGCAUUUAGGAAAGACAGAUUCUCGUCUCCAUUUACAGUCAAGUUACAUUUAGUAAAAGGUAGACUUUUACUAAAGCCAAGUGGUUACAGCGUAAGCAAAGCUAGAUCUGAGGAUUCCUGCCUAAACUAGGUACUUUCAUGAAGCCAAGAGACGAAGAUUAGAUGGAUUCCGGCCCCAGAAUGACCGACAAGAUUUUCGGAGGAUGCCUGACUAUAGCCCUCCCUUGGGUUAUCAUGGGCAAGGGCCAUCUGACCUUUACCGGCCUUUC